RNAcentral lists this ribosomal RNA (402 nucleotides) under uncultured prokaryote. Its description in RNAcentral is "bacterial SSU rRNA". It matches the Rfam family "Bacterial small subunit ribosomal RNA", at positions 355 to 774 of the family's 1533-position model. The record is from RNAcentral.
UAACGAAUCUUCCCCAAUGCACGCAAGUGUGAGGGAGCGGCGCCGCGUGGAGGACGAAGUUCUUCGGAAUGUAAACUCCUGUCAGGGAUUAGAAAGUUCUGAUCAAUCCCAGAGGAAGAGGCGGCUAACUCUGUGCCAGCAGCCGCGGUAAUACAGAGGCCUCAAGCGUUAGGCGGAAUCACUGGGCUUAAAGCGUGUGUAGGCGGAUGCCUAAGUGCCUUGUGAAAUCCCACGGCGCAACCGUGGAACUGCUGGGCAUACUGGGUGUCUUGAGCCAUCCAGGGGUCGCUGGAACAAACGGUGGAGCGGUGAAAUGCGUAGAUAUCGUUUGGAACGCCAAAGGUGAAGACAGGCGACUGGGGAUGUGCUGACGCUGAGACACGAAAGCCAGGGGAGCAAACG